GCACUUCUUGUUUCCUGGGCGGGUUCGCCCGCCACCAGGACCAAACCAUAAACCUUUUUGUAAUUGCAAUCAGCGUCAGUAAACAAUGUAAUUAUUACAACUUUCAACAACGGAUCUCUUGGUUCUGGCAUCGAUGAAGAACGCAGCGAAAUGCGAUACGUAGUGUGAAUUGCAGAAUUCAGUGAAUCAUCGAAUCUUUGAACGCACAUUGCGCCCUUUGGUAUUCCAAAGGGCAUGCCUGUUCGAGCGUCAUUUGUACCCUCAAGCUUUGCUUGGUGUUGGGCGUCUUUGUCUCUCACGAGACUCGCCUUAAAAUGAUUGGCAGCCGACCUACUGGUUUCGGAGCGCAGCACAAUUCUUGCACUUUGAAUCAGCCUUGGUUGAGCAUCCAUCAAGACCACAUUUUUUAACUUUUGACCUCGGAUCAGGUAGGGAUACC
RNAcentral lists this ribosomal RNA (439 nucleotides) under Stemphylium solani. RNAcentral describes it as "eukaryotic LSU rRNA". The stretch from base 99 to 252 matches the Rfam family "5.8S ribosomal RNA". The record is from RNAcentral. Lineage: Eukaryota; Fungi; Ascomycota; Dothideomycetes; Pleosporales; Pleosporaceae.